Molecule: long non-coding RNA, 4408 nt
Filed under: Sus scrofa (pig)
Lineage: Eukaryota; Metazoa; Chordata; Mammalia; Artiodactyla; Suidae
Description: lncRNA (ENSSSCG00035068939.1)
Source: RNAcentral
CAAAAGAUAAAAACAAAAAUAAAAACUGUAGCUUUUAUUUCAAGUAGCCAUAUAACUAGAUACAAAUCAAGAGCUGUGUUGUUAUAGAAUUUAUUGGAGUACAGCCCGUGUCUGCACUGUACACUCCUCUUCCCACAUAAACAGUACACCUCCUAGAAUACUGAAAAUAAAAAAAAUAAACAAAUAUGACCUAAUUAAACUUAAAAGUUUUUUGCACAGUAAAGGAAACCAUAAAAGCAAACAAACAAACAAACAAAAAAUGAAAAGAAAGCCACAGAAUGGGAGAAAAUAUUUGCAAAUGAAGUGAUUGACAAGGGAUUAAUCUCCCAAAUACACCAAAGACUCAUGCAGCUCAAUGUCGAACAAACAAACAAGCCAAUCAAAAAAUAGGCAGAAGAUCUAAAUAGACAUUUCACCAAAGAAGACAUACAGAUGGCCAAAAAAACACAUGAAAAGAUGCUCAACAUCAUUAGUUAUUAGAGAAAUACAAAUCAAAACUACUCUGAGGUACCACCUUACACCAGCCAGACUGGCCAUCAUCAAAAAGUCUAUAAAUAAUAAAUGCUGGAGAGGGUAUGGAGAUAAGGGAACCCGCUUAUGCUGUUGGUGGGAAUAUAAACUGGUGCAACCACUGUGGAAAACAGUAUGGAGUUUCCUCAAAACAACUAAAACUAGAACCACCAUAUGAUCCAGCAAUCCCACAACUGGGCAUCUAUCUGUAGAAAACCGUAAUUUGAAAAGAUACAUACUCUGCAAUGUUCGCUGCAGCAUUAUUUACAAUAGCCAUCAACAGAGGGAUGGAUUAGAAGAAGUGGUACAUCAACACUAUGAAAUAGUACUCAGCCAUUGAGAAAGAUGAAAGAGUGCCAUUUGCAGCAACAUGGAUGGACCUAGAGGUUAUCAUCCUGAUGAAGUUAGACAGUGAAAGACAAACGUCCUAUGAUAUCACUUGUCUGUAGAAUCUGAAAAAGGAUACAAAAGAACUUAUUUGCAGAACAGGAAGACUCACGGACUUUGAAAACACGCUUAUGAUUACCAAAGGGAAUGGUGGGGAGAGGGAUGGACGGGGGGUUUGGGAUCAGCACAUGCACCCUGAGGUGUGUGGAAUGACUGACCAACAGGGACCUGCUCUGUAGCACAGGGAACUCUCCCCGGUGUUCUGUGAUAAUCUAUGUGGGAAAAGAAUCUGAAAAAGAAUGAAUGUGUCUAUAUAUAUUAACUGAAUCACUUUGUUGCACAGCAGAAAUUAUCACAGCAUUGCAAUCAACUCUACUUCAAUAAAACUUUUUUAAAAAAUGAAAAAAAUUUUGCUCAAGGAUUAAUCAUGAUGUAAUUGAUGCUUUUGGUUUUAUACUGCCUUUUAUUGAAAAUGUGUGCUUCAUUUCUGAUUUUUCAUGGUUAUAUCAAUUAUCUUAAUUUGAACAUAGUGUUUAGUACACUUAAAAUAUUUUGAAUAAUUUUAUCUAUGGAAAAUUUUUAUCACAAUGAUAAUAAAUGUUUAACAUUUGUAUUAUAAAUUUUAUUUUUAUCUGAUCUUUUAUAUUUAUAAACUUGUAUUUUAAAUGUAUUAAAUAUAGUUUCACUGAUUUUUAAAUUUUCAAAUACAACGUUAGCAUUUAUACUUGUAUUUUAGUUUUAUAUGAAAUAAGACAUAGUGAAUUACCAGUGGUAUUAUCACUUUGCUCUAGAACCGAAAUCACUAACCCAUAACAGUGAAAGCAUAAGUUUCAUUGGGCCUCACCCCUUUCCCAUUUCUUCCUUCCUUCCUUCCUUCCUUUCUUCCUUCCUUCCUUCCUUCCUUCCUUNNNNNNNNNNNNNNNNNNNNNNNNNNNNNNNNNNNNNNNNNNNNNNNNNNNNNNNNNUUUUUUUUUUUUUUCUUUCUCUCUCUCUCUCUCUCUCUCUCUCUCUCUCUCUCUCUCUCUCUCUCUCUCUUUCUUUUUUGCUUUUUAGGGCCAUUUGUGUGGCAUAUACAAGUUCCCAGGCUAGGGAUCAAAUUGGAGCUGCUGCUGCCGGUUACAGCCACAGCCAGAGCCACAGCAACACAGGAUCCAAGCCGUGUCUGCCACCUACACCACAGCUCAUGGCAAUUCCGGAUCCUUUAGCUCACUAGGCAAGGCCGGGGAUCAAACCCGUGUCCUCAUGGAUCCUUGUCGGGUUUGUUACCACUGAGCCACGCCAGGAACUCCAUCCAGUCUUUUCCAUUUCUGAGAGGUGUACAUCAUGUCCUUCUGAGCUCUCAUUACUCACAGUGUACAGGUUGUGUCCUGGUGGGAUAGUAAAAUACUAGAAUUGGAAGUAGCAUCUAGACCCUGUCAUAGCUCAGAGAAAAGCGGAGGGUAACCGGUCAGAUUUCAGUAAUCAAGCUCCCUCUUGAAUUUUUACAGUAAGAGUUACAUCUGGGAUUCCUCCCCACUGAGUGCUUUAUUGAACCCGCCCAAAUCUGAUCUUAACUGCGAGCCAGCAAGAGCUUCGUGGAUGACUGAGUAUCCUGGGCAGUCACACAGGACCAGGACUCAGAAGGGUCCCUUGCCGGGCUUACUGGUCUGCUGUUGCCUUCUUGAAAUUUGGCUAGGGGUCCAGUUGGAGCUUUGGCUGCCAGUCUACACCACAGCCACAGCAACACCAGAUCUGAGCUGCAAUUUAUGGCAACCUCACCCCACCGAGAGAGGCCCGGAUUGAACCCACAGGACACUGUGUCAGGUUCUGAACCUGCUGAGCCACAAUGAUAACUUUUUGAAAUCCUUAAUAAGUUUUGAGCUCUGGAUUUUCAUUUUGCACUGGAAAUUAUGUAACCAGUUCUGUUGUAGCGGUUUGCUUUUAUUUUCAAAGGAAGAGGGAUAUAGGUAUUCUCUAAUGUAUGUCUGAUGUAUGACUUUUUUUUAAAUCUGAAGUUGGUGCUUCUUCUAUUUGGGUAUAUUUAGGCACCGAGGCAAAACGUCCCUCGUCAGAGUUGAAGUGGAACAAAGGUUUGAAGUGCUAAGCUGCUUUCCUUCUUCCCAUAACCACCUCUCUUCUCCUUAGGGUCCAUCAGCGCCGUUAAGCUCCUUCCUGACCUUCGUGUCUUCUCCCCGAUGUCCCGCCACGGGAAGUGCAGCGAGCCUGUAGCUUUUCAUCUAGAGGCCUCCUCCCAAGGGGUCCUUGCUUUCUCUUCCUCUACCACACACACCUGCCCUGCGCCACUGGACAGCAACCUCGACGAUAUUGUAGGAAUUCCUCGGAGGUCUUCUCAUCCUGGCCUCAACCACUCAGAGAGAGGGGUCUCCUUUGCGGAGAAAGUGCCCAAAGGAGAGCCCACCUGCUUCAGGACUUCCUUGAGCCUCACACAAGCAGCCCCUUUUCUUCUGUCUUACCAGUGAUGCCUUCUACGCCAAGCACGAGGGGAGAGAGAUGAAGGCCAGGACAGAGCAGCAUCCUGCUUUUUCAUGCCUGCAUUUUCAAGACGCAGCCUUUUAACCUGAAACAUCGGUUCUGCACCUUAAGAAGUCUUCAGGUAAACAAAUUCUGGUACUUUUCAAAAACUCUGCAUGCUUGGCUGUGCCGGCUUUGCCCUGUGUUCUUAUUCUUCACAUGAAAUACCCCUGGGCUUUGUAACAUUUGUUAUUUAGGAAGCAAGUCUAAAGAUUUUGUUACCUCUUGAGAGAGUGAAAUUAAACAACAACAUCAACAACUUUCACUUUGGAAGGACGAAAUUUGCAGGCUAGUCUCUAUAACCAUGAAGUUGCCAUGUCAGCAAAAGCCCUUUGUUCACCACAGGAAGCAAUCUGGUCAGAACAACUUCCUUUCUGGCAGUUCAAUAGAACUGUUGUUUCUGAAGCUUAUCAGAUAAACCCACUACCAGAAAUCCCCACUGGCAACAAAAUAGAAGUUUUGUUUGUUUGUUUGCUUGCUUUUUUAAAAUAGGGAACUAUAGUUCUCUCAAAGUGGCUACAUUUUAUUUUAUUUGUAUUUUCUUUGUUUAUUAAAUUAGCUUGCAUUGCUCCCUAAUUUUGAUGAUAGAAUUGAACGUGGAGAACGUUAAGUAGGUGAUGCGUUGAUUCACUGAAUUAAAACUGUAUUUGUGACUUGAAGUAACUUAGGAGAGAACGAUAAAGGACUAUUUAGAAGACAUUUGCGGCUUCCCAUCCUUCAUUUUCAGUAAGAAUAAUUGGCACGGUUAGCUAACUGUGAUGCAGUCCAUAGUCUCAGCCUUGUCUGCAGUCAGGAGUUUUUCACAUACAUAAAAUUUUUUUAAACUAUAAACUGUUUAAGUGCCUUCUUAUUUUUAAUUUAGGGAUCUUUAUCCUUUCUGUAUAACCUCUUGCUCCCUACUUCAUAUUAGAAAAAAAUUCUUCUACUCAGCAAUUAUAAGCUCCAAAAAGGCAAGGCAUGACCUUUUGGGCUAUUUAAGAAUAAUGACUUAAUCUCUCAU